This 784-nucleotide ribosomal RNA is filed under the name uncultured Bacteroidota bacterium. RNAcentral's name for it is "bacterial SSU rRNA". It matches the Rfam family "Bacterial small subunit ribosomal RNA", at positions 67 to 848 of the family's 1533-position model. Lineage: Bacteria; Pseudomonadati; Bacteroidota. The record is from RNAcentral.
CGGCAUUGAGUGCUUGCACUCUUUGGACGUCGACCGGCGCACGGGUGAGUAACGCGUAUCCAGCCUUCCCAUUACUGUGGGAUAACCUGCCGAAAGGCAANCUAAUACCGCAUAGUCUUCGAUGAUGGCAUCAGAUUUGAAGUAAAGAUUUAUCGGUAAUGGAUGGGGAUGCGUCUGAUUAGCUUGUUGGCGGGGUAACGGCCCACCAAGGCAACGAUCAGUAGGGGUUCUGAGAGGAAGGUCCCCCACAUUGGAACUGAGACACGGUCCAAACUCCUACGGGAGGCAGCAGUNAGGAAUAUUGGUCAAUGGACGGAAGUCUGAACCAGCCAAGUAGCGUGCAGGAUGACGGCCCUAUGGGUUGUAAACUGCUUUUGUAUGGGGAUAAAGUUAGGGACGUGUCCCUAUUUGCAGGUACCAUACGAAUAAGGACCGGCUAAUUCCGUGCCAGCAGCCGCGGUAAUACGGAAGGUCCAGGCGUUAUCCGGAUUUAUUGGGUUUAAAGGGAGCGUAGGCUGGAGAUUAAGUGUGUUGUGAAAUGUAGACGCUCAACGUCUGAAUUGCAGCGCAUACUGGUUUCCUUGAGUACGCACAACGUUGGCGGAAUUCGUCGUGUAGCGGUGAAAUGCUUAGAUAUGACGAAGAACUCCGAUUGCGGAGGCAGCUGACGGGAGCGCAACUGACGCUUAAGCUCGAAGGUGCGGGUAUCAAACAGGAUUAGAUACCCUGGUAGUCCGCACAGUAAACGAUGGAUGCCCGCUGUUGGUACCUGGUAUCAGCGGCU